GACGAACGCUGGCGGCGUGCCUAAUACAUGCAAGUCGAACGCUUCGUUCCUGCCGAGUGCUUGCGCUCGAGUGGCGAACGGGGUAGCGGCCGGGUGGUUAACACGUGUUUAACCUAGCCUUCAGUGGGGGAAAACAGGUGAAAACAGGUUCUAAUACCGCGUAACAGUUUGUGCCUUGUAGCGUAAGGGUGGAAGGGGCUUUCGGGUGUGGUUGUUGGAUUGAUCCGCGGUGCAUGGGAUAGUUGGUGAGGUAAGGGUUGACCAAGUGAGCGAUGGAUAGACGACGUGAGAGGGUGAUCGCCGACCCUGGGACUGAGACAGGGACAAGACGCCUACGGGACGCAGCAGUCGGGAAUCUUAGGCAAUGGACGAAAGUAUGACAGAGCAACGCGGAGCGAGUGAAGACGGCGUUCGGAUCGUAAAGCUCUGUUGUUGGAGAAGAACAAGGACGUUAGUAAACGAAGGGUCAGUGACGGUAUCUAAUCAGAAAGCACCGGCUAACUACGUG
Molecule: ribosomal RNA, 508 nt
Filed under: uncultured bacterium
Lineage: Bacteria
Description: partial 16S ribosomal RNA
Rfam family: Bacterial small subunit ribosomal RNA
Source: RNAcentral